Hipposideros armiger (great roundleaf bat) is the source of this 1341-nucleotide long non-coding RNA. RefSeq lists it as uncharacterized. NCBI's taxonomy places the organism in Eukaryota, Metazoa, Chordata, Mammalia, Chiroptera, Hipposideridae. The record is from RefSeq and is a predicted model, not a curated record. The transcript is spliced from 3 exons.
CAGGAUUUUCUUCUAGUUGUUCAGAGACGAUAGGUUGAGGCAUGGACAUGUUCAAGUAUGCGUAAAAGCAAAGCAUAUUGUUUCAUAACAUGUAGGCCGUAUACCUAGAAAAAUACCAAUCUGUGUUAUUAUUAAAGCUUUUCCUCAUGCGCACAAAGAUUUGAUAGAAACGUAAUGCAACAUGCAAGUUCCUUUUUUAGUGAGCAAAGAAAAUGCAGGGCUUGCUAUGUGCCUGGAACAAUCCCAAACAGCUUUGAUAUAUUAAGUCAUUUAAUCUUCACAAGAUUCUUAGGGUGUAAGUAUAAUUUUCAUUUUAUAGUUUGAAAACUGAGGCAAACAGGGGUUGAGGCCAUUCAGCUCCUAGGAAGCAGAGCUGGAAUUCCACUCAGGCUCUAGAUUUAAGGUGCUUAAUAUUCCUCUCAGGCUAUGUAAGGCAAACCAAGUGUCAUCUCCUAUGAGAGAAUCCAUGACUGCAGCUGAGAAGAGACAGAGGAGUGAAGUUUCCACCCUGUUUCCACCUUCUCUACUACUUUAUAACAUGCUUUGAAUAGUCCCAGUAGGUUACCUGAGAAGGAAUUUAUUCUUGUCUGAGAGCAGCGGGUCCAUACCAUUUAUAGUGACAAGGCUAGACCAAAACAACACUUUAAUGGAAGCUCUGUCAAAGCAAAGAUAUUCCUCCAGAACCUGGCACCUCUUUCAAAAGGGUCUUCCAUGGGACAAAGAAACCUUUACUUAUUUUUGAAACAGAAUAAAACUCAUUCUGUCUUGUAAUUACCAUGUGGCAUCAUUGAGCAAUUUUAAAAAUUCAGGACAUAGUAUAGAAUAGUCAUGAUCUUAUUUGGCCAAUAUUUUGAAUAUUUCUAUUUCAUUAACUUAAGAAUUAUUUCAUUACUACUCAUCACUUAUUCCCAACAAUGAUAAAAAAAAAACCAACAGACUAAAAUAUUUAAAAAACAGAACAAUGACAGAAUUGCCUAGAAGGAUGAGACAAUAGCAAAAUAAAUCAGCAUCAUCCCAUCAUUCAGUUUUCUGAUUGUGCUGACUGAAGUAUUGCAUCAUCAUUCAAGAAGGCAUGAAAGAAGACUGAAGACAUUUCUACAGUCUACUUUUAGUUCCACUGAACAAUUUAAAACUUAAAAUUUUUAUUUUUUAUCUAUAACUGCAAAGAGAAGAAAACCAACAGAGGAAGAUAGUUCAGUUAUUAGAGGAAUCAGAAGAUAAAUACGAAAAGACAGAGCACUACACUACACUUUAAUGAUUAGGGUGAAAUUGAAACUCAUCAUUCAAGUGAAAUCUCAGACUAUAAACUUUCAAAUGACAGUGAGUUUUUUUCAAAUACAA